RNAcentral lists this long non-coding RNA (938 nucleotides) under Manihot esculenta (cassava). Its description in RNAcentral is "long non-coding RNA (MESC_LNC008716)". Lineage: Eukaryota; Viridiplantae; Streptophyta; Magnoliopsida; Malpighiales; Euphorbiaceae. The record is from RNAcentral.
UUGGUUUAAUCAUAAGGAGAGAUAAUGGUGGUGAGAAGCGUCUUCCAUCUCCAUAACUAAUCUAUUGAAUCAACCCAAAGGAAAUUAAGUGUCAAUGGUCAAUCCCAACAACUAAAGUGGAUCCAAUUCUUCAACUAGAUCUUUCUUAUUAUUUAUUUCUCUUUAUUUUUAUUAUUUGCCUUAUUUUUAUUGCUUUCAGUUUUAGAUUAAUUAAAUCAAUUUCAAAACCCCCCCAUUUUACUUACAGUUUAGUUGGUUUCAGUUUUAUCUUGUUUUAGUUUAUUUUGCUUUCCGUUUAUUUUUCUUUCAGUUUUAUUCCACUUUCAAUUUUUGACUCACGGUUGUCGAAGCCAGUCAAAAAUAACCUUCCUGGUUAUUAACAAUUUUAUAACUGCAGAUAGUGAUGAAAGGAUCGAAUCCACAGAGAAUUGAUUACCUAUUUAUUUUUUUCUCAACAAGACCAAUAAAAUGAACUGAAACAAUAAUAAAUUAAAGAUGAGAUAAAAGACUGAAAGUGGGAUCAAAAGAGAUAAACUGGAAGCAGAAUAAAAAUAAAUUGCAAUAAAAGUAAAAUGGGGGGGGGGGUUUGAGAUUGAUUGUAGUAACUAAUAAUGAGAGUAAUAAUAGAAAGCAAAUAAUUAAAAUAAAAGAGGAAAUCAAUAUGAGAGAAGUCUAGUUGAAGAUAUGGAUCCACUUUGGUUGUUUGGGUUGAUCAUUGAAACUUAAAUUAUCUUGAUUGGUUCAAUAGAUUAGUUAUGGGGGUGGAAGACGCUUCUCACCACCAUGUCUCUCCUUAUGAUUAAAUUAAUUAGGGAAUGUCCUCUAAUUAAUUACUAAUUAACGAAUUGCCAAGGAACGUCCUUGGGCCAUAGGCAUCAAAACAAUUGUCAAUUGCAUAAAGAAAUAGAGAGAUCCAAUCCUAGCUACCCAAACGUANN